GCCUAAAAAGCUAGCCCACCCCUCCUUUAACUCACUUUUAUAACCCACCCACACAACAACCAACAAAACAUUUUACCCCCUAAGUACGGGCGACAAAAAAGGAUAAACCUGAAGCAAUAGAGAAAGUACCGCAAGGGAAUGCUGAAAGAGAAAUGAAACAACUACCCCAAGCCGUAAAAAGCAGAGAUUACACCUCGUACCUUUUGCAUCAUGAUUUAGCAAGCACACCUGAGCAAAGAGAACUUUAGUUCAGCCCCCCGAAACUAGACGAGCUACUUCAGGACAGCCUACGGAUAAAAUUUUUAUCCCCGUAGGGCACACCCGUCUCUGUCGCAAAAGAGUGGGACGAUCCUCAAGUAGAGGUGAUAAACCUAUCGAGCCUAGUAAUAGCUGGUUGUCUAAAAAAUGAAUACAAGUUCAGCCUCCCGACUCCCCCCACCAACGACGCACGUCUCACUAGACCCAGGGCGACCGAGAGAGUUAGUCAAAAAGGGUACAGCCUCUUUGAAAAAGGACACAACCUCCCCGGGAGAAUAAAGAUCAAACCACCCCAAGGAAACUUAUUUUAGUGGGCCCAAAAGCAGCCACCUAAAAAGAAAGCGUUAUAGCUCCUAUAAAUUCCACCCCCAAAUACCGAAUGAAAUUCUCCACUCCCCGCCCCCUAUUAGACCCUCCUACAAACCGUAGAAGAGACCAUGCUAAAAUAAGUAAUAAGAGAAAAUGCCCCUCUCCCCACAUGUGUUUAAAUCGGAUCGGACCUUCCACCGAUAAUUAACGAACCUCUCAAGAGGGUAAUGUCACACCACAAAAAUAGCCAGAAAACCAAUCACCCCAACUCGUUAACGCAACACAGCUGUGUACCCCCGGAAAGACUAAAAUAGAGAGAAGGAACUCGGCAAACACAAGCCUCGCCUGUUUACCAAAAACACCGCCUCUUGCUAAAACGAACGAAUAAGAGGUCCCGCCUGCCCAGUGACACUAUGUUAAACGGCCGCGGUAUUUUGACCGUGCAAAGGUAGCGCAAUCACUUGUCUUUUAAAUGAAGACUAGUAUGAACGGCAUCACGAGGGCUUAGCUGUCUCCUCUUUAAAGUCAAUGAAAUUGAUCUCCCCGUGCAGAAGCGGGGAUACACUCGUAAGACGAGAAGACCCUAUGGAGCUUAAGACAUAAAGUUUAACCCAUGUAAAAUACCCCCUAAAGGAAGAAAACAUAUUGAACCUUACUGAUGUGUCUUCGGUUGGGGCGACCACGGGGAAAAGUAAAACCCCCAUAUGGACCAAGGCCACUACCCCUCAAAACUAGGCCCACAGGCCAAAUUAACAGUACUUCUGACCACAAAAGACCCGGCAUCUAGCCGGUUAAUGGACCCAGUUACCCUAGGGAUAACAGCGCAAUCCCCUCCCAGAGACCUCAUCGUCGAGGGGGUUUACGACCUCGAUGUUGGAUCAGGACAUCCUAAUGGUGCAGCCGCUAUUAAGGGUUCAUUUGUUCAAUGACUAAUAGUCCUACGUGAUCUGAGUUCAGACCGGAGAAAUCCAGGUCGGUUUCUAUCUACGCAUUGAUCUUUUUUAGUACGAAAGGACCAAAAAGAAGAAGCCUCUGCACACUACACGCUUCAUCCCCCACCGAUGAAUUCAAAUAAAACGGCAAGGGGACAUACUCCUUACACCCCAGACCAGUGUCA
RNAcentral lists this ribosomal RNA (1684 nucleotides) under Benthosema pterotum (skinnycheek lanternfish). Its description in RNAcentral is "16S ribosomal RNA". It matches the Rfam family "Bacterial large subunit ribosomal RNA". Lineage: Eukaryota; Metazoa; Chordata; Actinopteri; Myctophiformes; Myctophidae. The record is from RNAcentral.